Molecule: unclassified non-coding RNA, 404 nt
Filed under: soil metagenome
Description: partial contains 5.8S ribosomal RNA, internal transcribed spacer 2, and large subunit ribosomal RNA
Rfam family: 5.8S ribosomal RNA (bases 1-122)
Source: RNAcentral
GAUGAAGAACGUAGCAAAAUGCGAUACUUGGUGUGAAUUGCAGAAUCCCGUGAACUAUCGAGUUUUUGAACGCAAGUUGCGCCCGAAGCCUUUUGGCCGAGGGCACGUCUGCCUGGGCGUCACGCAUCGCGUCGCCCCCCACAAUUCUCCGUAAAGGGAACAUGUGUUUUGGGGGCGGAUAUUGGUCUCCCGUGCUCAUGGCGUGGUUGGCCGAAAUAGGAGUCCUUUCGAUGGACGCACGAACUAGUGGUGGUCGUAAAAACCCUCGUCUUUUGUUUCGUGCUGUUGCUCGCAAGGUAAACUCUUCAAAAACCCCAAUGUGUCGUCUCUUGACGACGCUUCGACCGCGACCCCAGGUCAGGCGGGACUACCCGCUGAGUUUAAGCAUAUCAAUAAGCGGAGGA